This 262-nucleotide ribosomal RNA is filed under the name uncultured Enterobacteriaceae bacterium. Its description in RNAcentral is "partial 16S ribosomal RNA". It matches the Rfam family "Bacterial small subunit ribosomal RNA", at positions 77 to 339 of the family's 1533-position model. The record is from RNAcentral. Lineage: Bacteria; Pseudomonadati; Pseudomonadota; Gammaproteobacteria; Enterobacterales; Enterobacteriaceae.
AGCUUGCUCUCUGGGUGACGAGCGGCGGACGGGUGAGUAAUGUCUGGGAAACUGCCUGAUGGAGGGGGAUAACUACUGGAAACGGUAGCUAAUACCGCAUGACGUCUUCGGACCAAAGUGGGGGACCUUCGGGCCUCACGCCAUCAGAUGUGCCCAGAUGGGAUUAGCUAGUAGGUGGGGUAAUGGCUCACCUAGGCGACGAUCUCUAGCUGGUCUGAGAGGAUGACCAGCCACACUGGAACUGAGACACGGUCCAGACUCC